RNAcentral lists this ribosomal RNA (497 nucleotides) under uncultured bacterium. RNAcentral's name for it is "partial 16S ribosomal RNA". It matches the Rfam family "Bacterial small subunit ribosomal RNA", at positions 28 to 507 of the family's 1533-position model. The record is from RNAcentral.
GACGAACGCUGGCGGCGUGCCUAAUACAUGCAAGUUGAGCGAUGAAGAUUGGUGCUUGCACCAAUUUGAAGAGCAGCGAACGGGUGAGUAACGCGUGGGGAAUCUGCCUUUGAGCGGGGGACAACAUUUGGAAACGAAUGCUAAUACCGCAUAAUAACUUUUAACAUAAGUUUUAAGUUUGAAAGAUGCAAUUGCAUCACUCAAAGAUGAUCCCGCGUUGUAUUAGCUAGUUGGUGAGGUAAAGGCUCACCAAGGCGAUGAUACAUAGCCGACCUGAGAGGGUGAUCGGCCACAUUGGGACUGAGACACGGCCCAAACUCCUACGGGAGGCAGCAGUAGGGAAUCUUCGGCAAUGGACGAAAGUCUGACCGAGCAACGCCGCGUGAGUGAAGAAGGUUUUCGGAUCGUAAAACUCUGUUGGUAGAGAAGAACGUUGGUGAGAGUGGAAAGCUCAUCAAGUGACGGUAACUACCCAGAAAGGGACGGCUAACUACGUG